GAUGAACGCUGGCGGCGUGCUUAACACAUGCAAGUCGAACGAAGCUGCUAAAAGGAAGUCUUCGGAUGGAAUUUUGGUAGACUUAGUGGCGGACGGGUGAGUAACGCGUGGAUAACCUGCCUUAUACAGGGGGAUAACGGAGAGAAAUUUCCGCUAAGACCGCAUAAGACCACAGCACCGCAUGGUGCAGGGGUAAAAUAUUUAUAGGUAUAAGAUGGAUCCGCGUCCGAUUAGCUAGUUGGUGAGGUAGAGGCUCACCAAGGCGACGAUCGGUAGCCGGCCUGAGAGGGUGAACGGCCACAUUGGGACUGAGACACGGCCCAAACUCCUACGGGAGGCAGCAGUGGGGAAUAUUGGACAAUGGGGGAAACCCUGAUCCAGCGACGCCGCGUGAGUGAAGAAGUAUUUCGGUAUGUAAAGCUCUAUCAGCAGGGAAGAAAAUGACGGUACCUGACUAAGAAGCCCCGGCUAACUACGUGCCAGCAGCCGCGGUAAUACGUAGGGGGCAAGCGUUAUCCGGAUUUACUGGGUGUAAAGGGAGCGCAGACGGCGAAGCAAGUCUGAAGUGAAAUGCAUGGGCUCAACCCAUGAAUUGCUUUGGAAACUGUUUGGCUUGAGUGUCGGAGGGGUAAGCGGAAUUCCUAGUGUAGCGGUGAAAUGCGUAGAUAUUAGGAGGAACACCGGAGGCGAAGGCGGCUUACUGGACGACAACUGACGUUGAGGCUCGAAGGCGUGGGGAGCAAACAGG
This 748-nucleotide ribosomal RNA is filed under the name uncultured Lachnospiraceae bacterium. Its description in RNAcentral is "bacterial SSU rRNA". It matches the Rfam family "Bacterial small subunit ribosomal RNA", at positions 28 to 776 of the family's 1533-position model. Lineage: Bacteria; Bacillati; Bacillota; Clostridia; Lachnospirales; Lachnospiraceae. The record is from RNAcentral.